AUAACAUUCGAGGCAAAAGUGAUGUCACAAACAGAUGGGAAUUCCAAGUAAUACUGAGUCAUGGUUCUAGGGGAAUAAAACAAUUACUUUACAGCUCAGUGCAAUGUAGUAUUUAAAGAAAAGGUAGGCAUUUUGAUUCCCAAGUAAACUAAAGAGAAGAAAACUGAGGCUUAAAGAGGGCCUGUUUGCGUGUUCCCAACUGCUAUGUGGCCAAGAAUAACAAUCUUUAAUAUUGGUAUCCUUAUUUACAAAGAAAAUGAGUGCAGAAAGGACAAGUAGUUUUCGUGAAACCACUUGGAAGUGGAGGAGAAGGGUUUUGAACUCCCAUCAUCUCAAGCUCAUGCUUUGCCAUCUCACCACAGUGAAAUGAUGGAAAACUCAAGUCUGCAAACCUUAAAUUUUCAAUCAAAGGGAGGAAACCUUGGGCAAAUGAAGAGGUCAUGGAUAUGAUAUGAAAAUAUUUUAUGAUUUUGCAUGUGAGAAGCUACUGCAUAGAUGAAUUCAACUGCAGGAUCCCUUUUAAAAAAUAUGUAUCUUCAAGAUUGAGUGUGAGCCUUCACAAACUCCUCCUUGUAUCUUAAGUCUGCUGGAGUACUGGCCUGACUCCACUCACUCACUGUGUACUUCGUUUGAAACUAACAAACAAUACAGUGACUGUCAGUAGAUGUUGCCUCCUCAGUCUACAGAGCCAACAAAAAUUAUGGAAAAGUAAGUUACUUCACUGGAGUUUGAGAUGUAAAUUCUGAAUUGAUCAUGCUGUUUCUUUAAAAUUCCCAAGUAAAAUUUUCUACUCAAUUCACAAA
Homo sapiens (human) is the source of this 803-nucleotide long non-coding RNA. RefSeq lists it as uncharacterized. NCBI's taxonomy places the organism in Eukaryota, Metazoa, Chordata, Mammalia, Primates, Hominidae. The record is from RefSeq and is a predicted model, not a curated record. The transcript is spliced from 5 exons.